Molecule: long non-coding RNA, 360 nt
Organism: Sinocyclocheilus grahami
Lineage: Eukaryota; Metazoa; Chordata; Actinopteri; Cypriniformes; Cyprinidae
Exons: 3
Source: RefSeq, a predicted model, not a curated record
UAUAGAUGACUUCAAAGCUAACACACAUGGACUAAAAGUCUCCUUUUUCUCCACUCCGUUCCUUUUUUAAAUUAAUCAUCCGUCCGAGCCUGAGAAGAGAUCUCGUCGUCGUGUCAUCUCCGGCAGCACUGCUUCAAACACGUCUCGUGGUCAUGAGAUCGCAGGCUGAUUGUGUCAGUUGGGCGUGUGAGCAGAUGCAGGACCCCGUGCGUCAGGACCCCGUGCUGUCCUACAGGAUGCCCGAGUGACUGCGUGGGAAUGUGGGCCGUUUGAUCCACUCUCAUCCUUUCUGCUUUUGCCACCUCCACAAGAGGGCAGACUGUUGGAGGUGAUUUCUGUUGAAGAUGUCUACGUGUGCCA